GUGUUGCUGCAGCUCGGUUUCAAGCUGCGCGUUACGUUGGCGCAGGGUUGCGAUUUCCUCGCGCAGGGCGAGCAUCUCGUUCAGAGGCAUG
RNAcentral lists this transfer RNA (91 nucleotides) under compost metagenome. RNAcentral's name for it is "tRNA-Arg". The record is from RNAcentral.